RNAcentral lists this ribosomal RNA (456 nucleotides) under uncultured bacterium. RNAcentral describes it as "partial 16S ribosomal RNA". It matches the Rfam family "Bacterial small subunit ribosomal RNA", at positions 54 to 507 of the family's 1533-position model. The record is from RNAcentral.
CUUGCAAGUCGAACGGGGUGAGGAGCUUGCUCCUCAUCUAGUGGCGAACGGGUGAGUAAUACAUCGAAACGUACCGGGUAGGGGGGGAUAACUUACCGAAAGGUAGGCUAAUACCGCAUACGAUCCACGGAUGAAAGCAGGGGACCUUCGGGCCUUGUGCUAUACGAGCGGCCGAUGUCUGAUUAGCUAGUUGGGGGGGUAAAGGCUCACCAAGGCAACGAUCAGUAGCGGGUCUGAAAGGAUGAUCCGCCACACUGGGACUGAAACACGGCCCAAACUCCUACGGGAGGCAGCAGGGGGGAAUUUUGGACAAUGGGCGCAAGCCUGAUCCAGCCAUGCCGCGUGUCUGAAAAAGGCCUUCGGGUUGUAAAGGACUUUUGUCAGGGAGCAAAUCCUGAUGGCUAAUAUCCAUCGGGGAUGAGAGUACCUGAAAAAUAAGCACCGGCUAACUACGUG